Molecule: ribosomal RNA, 336 nt
Filed under: Triticum aestivum (bread wheat)
Lineage: Eukaryota; Viridiplantae; Streptophyta; Magnoliopsida; Poales; Poaceae
Description: partial small subunit ribosomal RNA
Source: RNAcentral
AUGGCGGGUUCCGACAACCCGGAGAUUCCCAGCUCAGCUCAAUCGGCCGAUGAUCCGGAUGUGGUGAUUACCCGGACUGAAUACGUUGAGCCGGGAAGACCCACUGCGCUGGCCAGAUGCUCUGCCAAAGAAGAAGCGCUGGAGCGCCGCAAGGCUAGACUGGAGAUUACUGACUAUGCUAACUUGAGUAUUGGAGACAUUGUUUCUGGUUACAUUGGUCACGUGCACAGCAACCGGGACUUGGAGAUUGAUAUGGUGAAGCAGAUACAGCAAAAAUCUGAGGCUGUCUGCAAAAAAUUUGAAGCUGAAGAACCGCCUGAAUACUCAGGAAACUGA